Molecule: ribosomal RNA, 253 nt
Filed under: uncultured bacterium
Lineage: Bacteria
Description: partial 16S ribosomal RNA
Rfam family: Bacterial small subunit ribosomal RNA
Source: RNAcentral
UACGGAGGGGGCUAGCGUUGUUCGGAAUUACUGGGCGUAAAGCGCACGUAGGCGGCUUUGCAAGUCAGAGGUGAAAGCCCGGGGCUCAACCCCGGAAUUGCCUUUGAGACUGCAUCGCUAGAAUUGUGGAGAGGUGAGUGGAAUUCCGAGUGUAGAGGUGAAAUUCGUAGAUAUUCGGAAGAACACCAGUGGCGAAGGCGACUUACUGGACACAUAUUGACGCUGAGGUGCGAAAGCGUGGGGAGCAAACAGG